GGAAAUGUGCCCGAAUCCAAGGGUUACUUUGAUAGAGUAAACUACAGAGGUUAAAAUCCCCUCAUUUCCUA
RNAcentral lists this transfer RNA (71 nucleotides) under Ctenosaura palearis. RNAcentral describes it as "tRNA-Ile". It matches the Rfam family "tRNA". Rfam says of the family: Transfer RNA (tRNA) molecules are approximately 80 nucleotides in length. Their secondary structure includes four short double-helical elements and three loops (D, anti-codon, and T loops). Further hydrogen bonds mediate the characteristic L-shaped molecular structure. tRNAs have two regions of fundamental functional importance: the anti-codon, which is responsible for specific mRNA codon recognition, and the 3' end, to which the tRNAs corresponding amino acid is attached (by aminoacyl-tRNA synthetases). tRNAs cope with the degeneracy of the genetic code in two manners: having more than one tRNA (with a specific anti-codon) for a particular amino acid; and 'wobble' base-pairing, i.e. permitting non-standard base-pairing at the 3rd anti-codon position. Lineage: Eukaryota; Metazoa; Chordata; Lepidosauria; Squamata; Iguanidae. The record is from RNAcentral.